GCCAAGAUACAGAAGGUAGGAGACAGAGGAAGGACUGAAGGCAAUUCUGAGUCAACAAGUAUGUCUAGAAAAGAGAAAGAGAAAAGAUCAAACAGGUUAUAUGUAGGUCUACAUGGGUUGUCUAAAUGCUGCUCAAAGGGGAGCAUGAAGAGAUCGAUCUGCAAUCCAAGAGAGACAGAUUCCUGCCUGGAGGGAAGCAGAAGAGGCCAUGCUAUUUAUUCUUCUCUGGGAGAGAAAGCGGUACUGAACAAAAUUUACAUCUAAUAUUUCUAAGUAAUGCUAUUCAAAAGGAAUGAUUCCCACUCCCCCUUGGGUUCAAGCCACUUUUCUGGUUGCUAUUCCUUAAAGAGAAAAUAAUACAAACUUUAUGUAAAGGUUGACCCCUUCUCACUAAAAGCUACUUUCACAGAAAACUAUCACAAAUAGUGAAUAGAAAUUAAACCUAUUUAUUCAAUUAGAGAGAGAGAGCAGAUCAGAGAUGUUAUAUCAAAUUUUAAAAAGCAGACAUAUAUAGACAAAUUUUCAAUCUAGGAAUGAAAUAUCUCCUCUUACUCAAGAGAUAAAGACCUCUCUCACCAGAUCUCCCAAAAGUCUCAAGAGAGGCAAACUGAAAUUCAGAAACAAUUGAGGAUCUAACUUUUUCUGUAUAGAAACUUCCAAAA
RNAcentral lists this long non-coding RNA (662 nucleotides) under Monodelphis domestica (gray short-tailed opossum). Its description in RNAcentral is "lncRNA (ENSMODG00000036474.1)". The record is from RNAcentral. Lineage: Eukaryota; Metazoa; Chordata; Mammalia; Didelphimorphia; Didelphidae.